This 439-nucleotide ribosomal RNA is filed under the name uncultured bacterium. Its description in RNAcentral is "partial 16S ribosomal RNA". It matches the Rfam family "Bacterial small subunit ribosomal RNA", at positions 339 to 795 of the family's 1533-position model. The record is from RNAcentral.
CUACGGGCCGCACCAGUGAGGAAUAUUGCACAAUGGGGGGAACCCUGAUGCAGCAACGCCGCGUGGAGGAUGACGCAUUUCGGUGUGUAAACUCCUUUUAUAUGUCAAGAAGAUGACGGUAGCAUAUGAAUAGGCACCGGCUAACUCCGUGCCAGCAGCCGCGGUAAUACGGAGGGUGCAAGCGUUACUCGGAAUCACUGGGCGUAAAGGACGCGUAGGCGGGUUGGAAAGUCAGGUGUGAAAUCCUACAGCUUAACUGUAGAACUGCACUUGAAACUUCUAAUCUAGAGUAUGGGAGGGGGAGAUGGAAUUAGUGGUGUAGGGGUAAAAUCCGUAGAUAUCACUAGGAAUACCUAAAGCGAAGGCGAUCUCCUGGAACAUUACUGACGCUAAGGCGUGAAAGCGUGGGGAGCAAACAGGAUUAGAUACCCCCGUAGUC